UGGAGGGCAAGUCUGGUGCCAGCAGCCGCGGUAAUUCCGGCUCCAAUAGCGUAUAUUAAAGUUGUUGCAGUUAAAAAGCUCGUAGUUGAAUUUCAGGCCUGGCUGGACGGUCCGCCCUUCGGGUGAGUACUGUCUGUGGUCGGGUCCUACCUUCUGGCGAAGCGUCAUGGCCUUAACCGGCCGUGGCGGGGAACCAGGACUUUUACUGUGAAAAAAUUAGAGUGUUCAAAGCAGGCAAUCGCUUGGAUACAUUAGCAUGGAAUAAUGGAAUAGGACAAUGGUUCUAUUUGUUGGUUUCUAGGACCGUUGUAAUGAUUAAUAGGGAUAGUUGGGGGCAUUAGUAUUCAAUUGUCAGAGGUGAAAUUCUUGGAUUUAUUGAAGACUAACUACUGCGAAAGCAUUUGCCAAGGAUGUUUUCAUUAAUCAAGAACGAAAGUUAGGGGAUCGAAGACGAUCAGAUACCGUGGUAGUCUUAACCAUAAACUAUGCCGACUAGGAAUCGGGCGAUGUUGACAAAAUGACGCGCUCGGCACCUCAUGGGAAAC
This 545-nucleotide ribosomal RNA is filed under the name uncultured Glomus. RNAcentral's name for it is "SSU rRNA". It matches the Rfam family "Eukaryotic small subunit ribosomal RNA", at positions 549 to 1098 of the family's 1831-position model. Lineage: Eukaryota; Fungi; Glomeromycota; Glomeromycetes; Glomerales; Glomeraceae. The record is from RNAcentral.